UACGAAGGGGGCUAGCGUUGCUCGGAAUUACUGGGCGUAAAGGGCGCGUAGGCGGCUUGCUCAGUCAGGCGUGAAAUUCCUGGGCUCAACCUGGGGACUGCGCUUGAGACGUGUGGGCUUGAGUGGGGAAGAGGGUCGUGGAAUUCCCAGUGUAGAGGUGAAAUUCGUAGAUAUUGGGAAGAACACCGGUGGCGAAGGCGGCGACCUGGUCCUUGACUGACGCUGAGGCGCGAAAGCGUGGGGAGCAAACAGG
Molecule: ribosomal RNA, 253 nt
Filed under: uncultured bacterium
Lineage: Bacteria
Description: partial 16S ribosomal RNA
Rfam family: Bacterial small subunit ribosomal RNA
Source: RNAcentral